RNAcentral lists this ribosomal RNA (414 nucleotides) under uncultured bacterium. RNAcentral's name for it is "bacterial SSU rRNA". It matches the Rfam family "Bacterial small subunit ribosomal RNA", at positions 957 to 1363 of the family's 1533-position model. The record is from RNAcentral.
UAACGCGAAGGAACCUUACCAAAUCUUGACAUCCUUUGAAAACUCUAGAGAUAGAGCCUUCCCCUUCGGGGGACAAAGUGACAGGUGGUGCAUGGUUGUCGUCAGCUCGUGUCGUGAGAUGUUGGGUUAAGUCCCGCAACGAGCGCAACCCUUAAGCUUAGUUGCCAUCAUUAAGUUGGGCACUCUAGGUUGACUGCCGGUGACAAACCGGAGGAAGGUGGGGAUGACGUCAAAUCAUCAUGCCCCUUAUGAUUUGGGCUACACACGUGCUACAAUGGACAAUACAAAGGGCAGCUAAACCGCGAGGUCAUGCAAAUCCCAUAAAGUUGUUCUCAGUUCGGAUUGUAGUCUGCAACUCGACUACAUGAAGCUGGAAUCGCUAGUAAUCGUAGAUCAGCAUUCUAAAGGUUGCUU